UACGAAGGGGGCUAGCGUUGCUCGGAAUGACUGGGCGUAAAGGGCGCGUAGGCGGAUGGCACAGUCAGAUGUGAAAUUCCCGGGCUUAACCUGGGGGCUGCAUUUGAUACGUGUUGUCUUGAGUUCGGAAGAGGGUCGUGGAAUUCCCAGUGUAGAGGUGAAAUUCGUAGAUAUUGGGAAGAACACCGGUGGCGAAGGCGGCGACCUGGUCCGACACUGACGCUGAGGCGCGAAAGCGUGGGGAACAAACGGG
Molecule: ribosomal RNA, 253 nt
Filed under: uncultured bacterium
Lineage: Bacteria
Description: partial 16S ribosomal RNA
Rfam family: Bacterial small subunit ribosomal RNA
Source: RNAcentral